CCACUGAACUGUGGCAAAGCAGCACCCAACAGCAGCAGGGUGACAGCAGGGGUGACGCUGAGGGGGGCUCCCUGGGCUUGAGGCCUUUGCCAAGCUGCCAGCCUGCACCCUGCACCACCCAGAGAUGAUUCCAGAAGCAGAAAGAAGCCCGGACAUCAGGGAGGGGUGCCCUGGGGAGGGAGCUAAGCGAGGUGGGCGGAGGAGCCCACAGGACUCCAGGCUGUGGCCAGGCCCCGGCUGGCUGUGGGGUGGGGUGGGGGUCGGAGAGGAAAGCAGAGCCACCAUGCCGCCCUCCCACGGGGACCCAGCAUGGGACGCCCACACAGGCUCAGCCAGCCUCCAGGCCCUGCACCCCGCCAGCUUCCCACAGACACCACAGAGAGGAAGCAGGACGCGUCCAUGCGGGGAGAUCGCAGGCACCGCCCGUCGCCCAUGAGGUCCAGGUCUCAUCCCACCCGCGGGGCCGGCCAGCCUGUGCGUCACACCCCGCUUCCAACACCGGCCUCGCGUCUCGAUGGGAAGAAGCGGACUUUGCUCCUCAGGAGACAACCCUGCCGGCUUUAUCUCGAGGCCACUUCCAUCACACGGCUCCCUUCACAUGUGGUCUAUGACGGCGAACACACGUGCAGACAACGUGGGCUGAGCGGACUUAACCGCAGCUGCUUCCGCUCUGAGGACGGACGGCCCCGGGUCCUCAGUGCCAGCCUUCCUCUGCUGGCGGUGGGAAACCUCGGGGGCCGCGAGGCCAGUGCCUGAGGCCCCUGCUGGCUCCGAGAGCAGGGCAGGCCCCGGAGGAGGCAAGGCCGGGGCCGCCCGCCUGCCCGCCUGGGAGUCGGGCCUGUGCCUCACUCGCGCUGGCUGGAAACUGCCCAGCAGCCGGCAGAGCCCGCACGGGCGUGUGGCGAGGUCCCCAGAGCCCGCCUUCUCUGUCACCUCACUCGGCACAGCCGCGCGAACAGAAUGGGAAUGUGCAGUCUGAGUGACAUCAAUCACGGCGACGUGCAAGUGGCAGAGCCCAGAGACCCCCCCUAAGUGCCAGGAAGCAGGCAAUGGGGACCUGCUGCCACCCUAGGGACGCAUGUGUCACCUGGCCCUUCUGAACCACUGGCAUUCUCCUCGCUCUGAUGGGUGAGUGGGCCCCCCCUCCACCUCAUCAGAGCUGGUUUCCAGGCUGAGGCUGGAGCUGCCUCCUUGCUGGGCGUCCCUCCGGGCACCAGCGCCUGCUGGCCCGCUGAGGAGGAGAGGGUGGCCUGCACCCACCCGCCCUGCUUCCUCUGCUUGGGCCCCGCGGGGGCAGCAGCUGUGCGGCCGCACAAGGAGCACAUUGUCCGCCGCGGCCCCAGGAAAACAAGCCCUCCUCCAAGAUGUGCAGGCCCCUCCAGAGGGACAGGGAGCCCGGAAGGUUCCACCCACGGGGGGACGUCCCGCCAGUGGCUUUGGGAGGGUGGUGAGCAAGUGCCCGGGGGAGCUUCCAUGCGGUUGCCCCCACCCACUGCUGGCUCGUUUCCCAUAAGGCAGCCCACACAGGACAGCGCGUUUGGGACGCAUCCUUGUGAGACCGGGGUUGGGGCUCUGCCCUGCACGUGGACAGAGGUGGUGGCCGCGGGGUGGAGAUGUGGGCGUGGUAAGCAGCAGGGGACACGCGGGGUGGUCCACUCCUGUCCUGACCGAGCCCAGGACUGGCCAUCGGCGGCGGCCUCCAGGUCCCAGAGCAGGCGGAGCCCCUGCCUUGCCGUCCGUGCACCCGAGGGCUGGCCUGGCCACAGCCUGGCUCGCUCAGGCGCUCCGAGCAGGGGGCUGCUCUGUGGGCUCGCCUCCCGGCCCGGGCUUCCAAACCACCCUCUGAGUCCCCGGCCUGGGGUGCCCGCCGUGUGAGCAGGAGCCACACAUCGAGUCUGAGGAAUGCCUGCGACGCGAUGCACUCAGGUCCUUGGUCUUGGGCCCGACCUGUGACCCGAGGCUGCCCCGGCUGCUCGGCAGCAGGACGCGGACGUGGCGCUGGUGUGGCUCUUCCCCCGGGUUCUAGGAAGGGUGAGGACUCUUCUAUAGAAGAUGAGAAACCCUGCUACGGGGCAGCCCGGCGACGCCAAGCACAGCGAGCAGGGCUCCAGGGCGGAUGCAGAAGGCCGGCUGCUCCUCCCGGGAGACUCUCGCUGACUGUCUGCUCUGGACGUGGACGCCCGCAGACCGGCUCCAGCCAACAAGGGGACCUGGGGGGCUCAGCAGGUGCUGUGGUCACCCAGCGUCAAGGCCUGGAUGCCAGAGGCCUCGCCGCUGACCAAGAAGGAAAUGGGACCCUAAGCAAGCUUUCAGGGCUGGGGCCGCCUGAUGGCGCUGACACUGCCUGGAAACUGUCACCGUUCCUGAGGAAGAGUAAUUAAGCUGCGCAGGCACGGCUCCUCAGAGAUGACAGCACCAUCCACGCUGUGAGCAGGAGCCCAUUAGCUUCACGGUUACAAGCGGGAGGGGAGAGGGCGCAUCACGGCUGACAGCUGUCACUCCUGCCUGCGUCCCCCGCCCCACCUGGGAGCACAGCCUAAGUCACAGCACCUCGGCCCUCCGGGCAGAGCAGCCAGCGCUGCAUCACGGAUGGCAAAGAAGGGACCUUCUUAUACCUUAGAGACCCGGUUCUUAGGCCCCCUGUCCCCACAGGUGCCAACGCCCGGUCUCUCAAAGAGACCGAAGCACGAGAUGAGGGGUGACAGGGCUGCUUCGGGAGCGCCUGGCCUGGCCCAGUGUCCCUGACACCGUCUGCUGGGAUGAUGGCUCACUGUGGCAGCGGCGGGACGUGCUGGGCCCUGCAACAGCCCCUGGGCCUCACGACGGGCACACGCCCGGGUCCAGCGUGGCUCCCGGGGAGAGGGCGGGUGGGGAGGUGGGGGACAAGGCGGGCAGUCCUGACUUCAUUCACCAUGCACUCCGGUCCCUGACCCCUUGCCAAACUCAAGCAGCGGGAGAGGAACCCAGACUCUGCAAGCCCCCAACACGGGGCCGGGAGCCUCAGGACCCGAGGCCCUGAGCACAGCCGGCCCGCCUGGUCCAGGAGCACCGCCUGUAGCCGGCUCCUCAGCACGUGCCCCGCCCCAGUACUCGAGGCCGGUACAGUGUGUCCUCAGAAGGAGAGCCCUCGGGACUGAAGUCUAACCCUACCCCAACCCUGACCCUGACCCGACCCCCGACCCUCCAACCCUAAGCCCCUAACCCAGCUCCAUGACCCGACCUAAAAUCCAGCACUGUCCCUAACCAGAGCCCUGCCCUGGGCCCUACAGAGCCCUGGACUGUCGAUCUGGAGCCCCGCCCUUCCUCCAACGAGCGUGCAGCGCAGUGUCGCCCACGGCCCUGGGCUGUCCCCGACUAGGGAGCCCGGCACCUUCUCGAUCAGAGACCUAAGUGUCCCAAACUAGGGCCCUGAUCUGUCCCUCAUGAGGCCCUGCACUGUCUGAAACCAAAGCCCUUGGCUGUUACCAACCAGAGCCCUGCUCUCUCUCUCGAGUCCUGCCCAACGAAGGCCCUGGACUGUCUCUAACUACGGUCCUGCACUGUCCCUGACUAGAUUUCUGCCCUGUCCCUAAACUAGAGCUCUGCCUUGUCCCGAAUGACAUCCCUGUCCUGUUCCUAAUGAGAGGCCUGUGCAGUCCCUGACAGUGGCCCUGCACUGUCCCUAUCUAGGGUCUUGCACUGUCUCUAACUAGAGCCCUGAUCUGUCCCUAACUAGGGCCCCAAGCUGUUUCUAAUCUAACCCUGCUCUGUCCCCGCUGAGGGUCGGCUGUGCUACCGCAUCCCCCCCACUUUCCUGUCCACAAGCUGUGCUCGAGAGCAGGCGUCGCGCCACUUGCCGCGCCUGUGUGUGGGCUAUCCCAUGUGAGGGAGACUGCGUUUUGAGGACAGAGGGACGGCCAGUGUGCCAGCCCCCUGCAGCCUGGCAUGGAGGUGACCCCGCCCCAGCAGGGGCUCGGGUGGUGAAGAAGGCAUGGCAGCCGGAGGGGUGCAAGGGAGGCCCCGCCGACACUGCCCCUGAACCGACAGCCCCCCUUGCCACCCAGACAGGCAGGCCCUGGGGGAACCAUGAGCAACAGUGACCCUGCAAACACUGCGGUCCAGAGGGCACGACUGCCAAAUGACUCGUUAAGACGGUUUCCUGUUUCAUUCUGACGAAACACAACAAGAGAGCAGAGAACAAACAAAAGGGAGGUCACAACAGCAGAAUGGAAACUUCUCUCGCCAGGUCCAGCACGGCCCGGGGAACAGGCACUCCUGUCUGCUCUUCGCCUAGACAGGGGCCACACAGGCACGGGACCCUCAGCCUCUUCUGGCCUCAAACCACCUGGCCUCGCUGCCCCUGCCUGAAGGGACAGACUGGGGCCCAUCCUCGGGCCCAGGAGGAACUGAAGCCUGAGGCCCCGGGACGCAGCCAGGCUCCUGAGCACCUCCCCUACCUUGGCCCCUCACUCGGUGGGUGAUGGGCCUGCUGGGCCUCCUGUGUCCCCGCCCUUGCCUGGAGCCACGUCUGCCCAGGAGUCCUCAAGAAUCGGCGGGACCCGGGCAGGCCUCUCGGGACAGGAGCCCCAUCUGUCCAGCUUCCUGGUCACGUCUUGUGCAUGUGACAGUUUACGCCAGAGGUCAGGCGGCAGACAACACACGUUUUCUCUCAAGGAGGUGUUUUGCAAAGAGCUGGCUGAAGGCUUCCUGCUCUAAGAAAAAACGUCAUUUAAGUGGCCUGCUCCCAAUCAGGCAGCGCCUGGCAAACUGCCGAUCUGUGUUUAGGGGUGUCCUGGCCGCCGCGGGGCAGGAACUGACCCGGGUGACCCCCGAGGCGGCUGCCCGCCCCUCGCAGCGCCUCACGGUGCUGGGCAAUAUUCGGUUGCCAUGGCAACCGGCCCUCCGCACCCAGGCGUGCCCGCCACUCUGACCCGUGCAGGUGUCACCAACUAGGCCGGAAACAAAAUCCACGGUGAGGACCUCAGCUGGCUUGGCUGGUGUGGGGCAAACACGGGAAGGCUUCCUGUCGACGGAAAUGAGAGCCGGCCCCGGAGGCUUUUCAGAUGAAUAGAUUCCAAAUCUUUAACAUGUAUCAGGCUGAAGGGCACACGAGGCCUUACAUGUCUUUGUCUUUUGUUUCCCGCGCAGGAAAAUCAGCCAAAGCACGUCUCCAAGUGCCUUGGCGGACGGGAGGCGAUGCGAGGUGCCUGGCACAGCCGUUCCGGGCGGCCCGUCUGCUGGGCUGUCUCACCUGCCUGCUCCCCAGGCAGCCCGGGAGGUUCGUGUGUCCACAGGCCCUGCACGGGGCAGCCUAACACCCAGCACCACGGCGGGCGAGCUCCUGCCCCCGCACACUCGUGCCACGCACGUGGGGGCCGCCCUCACCCCACGCUGCCCUGGUGCCUGCAGACGACCUGCUAAGCCCACAGCCACCCAGGGCCUCCCCCAUGCUCAUGAACCUGGGGCCGGCAUCCUCAGGCUGCCUGGGCAAGCCCUGGGACAGGCUCGCGUGGCCAGUUAGGACAGAAACGCCCACCCUGGUCAGCAGCGCCAGGGAGGGUCAGCGCAUCUGGAAAGGAGAGCAUCACUCACCCACAGCCAGCAGGCACCCAGGUCAGAGGUCAGGACAGCCCUCAGGCCUCCGCCCCCCACGGACUCCGUGUCUGCUGGGGGUCACUGCCGGGGACAUGCCCGUGUCUCCCUCUCCCCCGCCACCUCUGGAGGCUGGUUGUCUCUGGCCCUCCAGGGAGGUCAAUGUGACGGGCAGCUCCCCGGAGGUCAGAGGCCAGGACGGCUGCUGAGGGGCAGAGUGCCCCACAGACCCGCCCCAGGCAGCAUGCAGCCCCUGGGAUGACAAGGGGAGAAGCGGGCGUCUCAGCACCGCUGCGGGCACAAUCUUGCUCAGAGGUCAUGUGCAAAGGAGCCUGCAUGGUGCUUUAGUGACACAGGGCGGGGCAGUGACAGCUUCGGGCAUCAUGUCCCUGAUGCCCUCAGAAGAAACUUCCAGAAGCGUUUUCUUCUUCUGCUCAGUGUACAGUGGGAGAUGAGGUUCCAGCUGAUGCAAGCCAUCAUGGGGACACGCCAUGAGUGACCCACAGAGAGACCCACAGGCAGAGGGUGAUGAUGACCAGGGCCCAGCGACCACCUGACCCACCCCUCGCUCUGCCCAGGGGGGACCUCCUGUGCUGGAGACCCAGGUCCCUUAGGCCUCUGCUCCCAGGGCCCGUCCCUACCACCCUUUGCUCAGGUCUCCGCUCAGAUGCCACCUUCUCAGGGCCUUCCUUGGACCUAACACUGCAGCUGGGCUCCAUCCACCCUGGCACUGCCUGCCCGGCAGCACUCACCGCAUACUGCUUAUCUCGCCCGCUUCACCCCACACCCCGCCCCGGACCCGGAACGCGAGCUCCCAGCAGACCAAGCACCCACAGCGAGCAUGUUCAAGGCUACAACAAUGAAAUGAAAAUACACCCCUAAGACAUGAAAUGAGAGAACUCGGAAGAGAAAGAGAGCUACAAAGAAAGGACAAAAUCCAGAACUGAGAAAGAAAAUGUCUGGCACUGAAACAGAGCAGACUGGAGGCCAAGAACGCAAAGGUGGCGAGCGUGAUGGCAGCUCAAGCAAGACCAUUCGACCUGCGAACAGGGACUUAAAAAGUGAGUUACAACAAAACAGACUUUCAGGAACUGGUGAAACAACAUCAGAAGCUCCAACAUACGUGCAAUUGGAAUCUUAGGAAAGGAGAGAAACGAGGAGGAAAAAACUUUGAAAAAAUACUGGCAGUAAUUACCCAAACUUGGUAAAAGACCCAAAUGAUAGAUUCAAAAGCCUCAGGGAAUCGCAAGCGGGAUAACAUCCUGCUCAAAACGCCAUGUGCAGGCACAUCACUGUCAAAAUGCCGCGAAGCAGAGACAAACCUUCGGGGCGCCCAGAGAGAAGAAAGGCACGGGUGGUCAGAGGACAGCCGACAGGAGCAGCAGUGACUUCUCGUCAGAAAAAAUGGGGGCGAGAGACAGUGAAGCGAGGCAGAGUCUUGCACCUGAUGGAACUGUCUGUUCUGAGAUGAGAGCCAAGCAUCCAGAAGCUUUUCAAACUGCCAGAGACCCCAGCAGCAUGCAUGGGAGGGGCUGGGCACAAUCCGAGGCUUCGGGAGGAAAGCAAGCCUCGGGCGAUCUCAGCGUGAGGGAGGCACCCCCCGCGCCCUCGGCAGGACCACGCGGACUGCCCGUCCAAGGGUGGGAGGG
Molecule: long non-coding RNA, 7220 nt
Filed under: Sus scrofa (pig)
Lineage: Eukaryota; Metazoa; Chordata; Mammalia; Artiodactyla; Suidae
Description: lncRNA (ENSSSCG00045005822.1)
Source: RNAcentral